Molecule: long non-coding RNA, 114 nt
Organism: Oreochromis aureus
Lineage: Eukaryota; Metazoa; Chordata; Actinopteri; Cichliformes; Cichlidae
Exons: 3
Source: RefSeq, a predicted model, not a curated record
UCGGUCUAUGAAGCCUCCAUCAUCAAGCUAGCAGCCCAUGAAAUCGAACGCAGAUCUUCCUGAUGUGAGAUUUACAUAAAUAUGUCAAAGUCUCAACCUCAUGCUGCCCUCCCC